RNAcentral lists this ribosomal RNA (314 nucleotides) under uncultured bacterium. Its description in RNAcentral is "bacterial SSU rRNA". It matches the Rfam family "Bacterial small subunit ribosomal RNA", at positions 346 to 658 of the family's 1533-position model. The record is from RNAcentral.
CGAUUGCAGUAGGGAAUAUUGGUCAAUGGAUGGAAGUCUGAACCAGCCAUGCCGCGUGCAGGAAGAAGGCCUUCUGGGUUGUAAACUGCUUUUGCCAGGGGAUAAAAUGACCUUGCGAGGUUAAUUGAAGGUACCUGGUGAAUAAGCCACGGCUAACUACGUGCCAGCAGCCGCGGUAAUACGUAGGUGGCAAGCGUUGUCCGGAUUUAUUGGGUUUAAAGGGUGCGUAGGCGGUCUAUUAAGUCAGUGGUGAAAUACUCUAGCUCAACUAGAGGGGUGCCAUUGAUACUGAUGGACUUGAGUACAGAUGAGGU